RNAcentral lists this ribosomal RNA (501 nucleotides) under uncultured bacterium. RNAcentral describes it as "partial 16S ribosomal RNA". It matches the Rfam family "Bacterial small subunit ribosomal RNA", at positions 30 to 523 of the family's 1533-position model. The record is from RNAcentral.
AUUGAACGCUGGCGGCAGGCUUAACACAUGCAAGUCGAGCGGGGAAAGGUAGCUUGCUACUGGACCUAGCGGCGGACGGGUGAGUAAUGCUUAGGAAUCUGCCUAUCAGUGGGGGACAACAUUCCGAAAGGAAUGCUAAUACCGCAUACGCCCUACGGGGGAAAGCAGGGGAUCUUCGGACCUUGCGCUAAUAGAUGAGCCUAAGUCGGAUUAGCUAGUUGGCGGGGUAAAGGCCUACCAAGGCGACGAUCUGUAGCGGGUCUGCGAGGAUGAUCCGCCACACUGGGACUGAGACGCGGCACAGACUCCUACGGGAGGCAGGAGUGGGGAAUAUUGGACAAUGGGCGCAAGCCUGAUCCAGCCAUGCCGCGUGUGUGAAGAAGGCCUUUUGGUUGUAAAGCACUUUAAGCGAGGAGGAGGCUCCUUUAGUUAAUACCUAAAGAGAGUGGACGUUACUCGCAGAAUAAGCACCGGCUAACUCUGUGCCAGCAGCCGCGGUAA